This 2773-nucleotide ribosomal RNA is filed under the name Escherichia sp. MOD1-EC5949. Its description in RNAcentral is "bacterial LSU rRNA". It matches the Rfam family "Bacterial large subunit ribosomal RNA". The record is from RNAcentral. Lineage: Bacteria; Pseudomonadati; Pseudomonadota; Gammaproteobacteria; Enterobacterales; Enterobacteriaceae.
AGCGUACACGGUGGAUGCCCUGGCAGUCAGAGGCGAUGAAGGACGUGCUAAUCUGCGAUAAGCGUCGGUAAGGUGAUAUGAACCGUUAUAACCGGCGAUUUCCGAAUGGGGAAACCCAGUGUGAUUCGUCACACUAUCAUUAACUGAAUCCAUAGGUUAAUGAGGCGAACCGGGGGAACUGAAACAUCUAAGUACCCCGAGGAAAAGAAAUCAACCGAGAUUCCCCCAGUAGCGGCGAGCGAACGGGGAGCAGCCCAGAGCCUGAAUCAGUAUGUGUGUUAGUGGAAGCGUCUGGAAAGGCGUGCGAUACAGGGUGACAGCCCCGUACACAAAAAUGCACAUGCUGUGAGCUCGAUGAGUAGGGCGGGACACGUGGUAUCCUGUCUGAAUAUGGGGGGACCAUCCUCCAAGGCUAAAUACUCCUGACUGACCGAUAGUGAACCAGUACCGUGAGGGAAAGGCGAAAAGAACCCCGGCGAGGGGAGUGAAAAAGAACCUGAAACCGUGUACGUACAAGCAGUGGGAGCCUCUUUAAUGGGGUGACUGCGUACCUUUUGUAUAAUGGGUCAGCGACUUAUAUUCUGUAGCAAGGUUAACCGAAUAGGGGAGCCGAAGGGAAACCGAGUCUUAACUGGGCGUUAAGUUGCAGGGUAUAGACCCGAAACCCGGUGAUCUAGCCAUGGGCAGGUUGAAGGUUGGGUAACACUAACUGGAGGACCGAACCGACUAAUGUUGAAAAAUUAGCGGAUGACUUGUGGCUGGGGGUGAAAGGCCAAUCAAACCGGGAGAUAGCUGGUUCUCCCCGAAAGCUAUUUAGGUAGCGCCUCGUGAAUUCAUCUCCGGGGGUAGAGCACUGUUUCGGCAAGGGGGUCAUCCCGACUUACCAACCCGAUGCAAACUGCGAAUACCGGAGAAUGUUAUCACGGGAGACACACGGCGGGUGCUAACGUCCGUCGUGAAGAGGGAAACAACCCAGACCGCCAGCUAAGGUCCCAAAGUCAUGGUUAAGUGGGAAACGAUGUGGGAAGGCCCAGACAGCCAGGAUGUUGGCUUAGAAGCAGCCAUCAUUUAAAGAAAGCGUAAUAGCUCACUGGUCGAGUCGGCCUGCGCGGAAGAUGUAACGGGGCUAAACCAUGCACCGAAGCUGCGGCAGCGACACUAUGUGUUGUUGGGUAGGGGAGCGUUCUGUAAGCCGUUGAAGGUGGCCUGUGAGGGUUGCUGGAGGUAUCAGAAGUGCGAAUGCUGACAUAAGUAACGAUAAAGCGGGUGAAAAGCCCGCUCGCCGGAAGACCAAGGGUUCCUGUCCAACGUUAAUCGGGGCAGGGUGAGUCGACCCCUAAGGCGAGGCCGAAAGGCGUAGUCGAUGGGAAACAGGUUAAUAUUCCUGUACUUGGUGUUACUGCGAAGGGGGGACGGAGAAGGCUAUGUUGGCCGGGCGACGGUUGUCCCGGUUUAAGCGUGUAGGCUGAUUUUCCAGGCAAAUCCGGAGAAUCAAGGCUGAGGCGUGAUGACGAGGCACUACGGUGCUGAAGCAACAAAUGCCCUGCUUCCAGGAAAAGCCUCUAAGCAUCAGGUAACAUCAAAUCGUACCCCAAACCGACACAGGUGGUCAGGUAGAGAAUACCAAGGCGCUUGAGAGAACUCGGGUGAAGGAACUAGGCAAAAUGGUGCCGUAACUUCGGGAGAAGGCACGCUGAUGGUAGGUGAAGCGACUUGCUCGUGGAGCUGAAAUCAGUCGAAGAUACCAGCUGGCUGCAACUGUUUAUUAAAAACACAGCACUGUGCAAACACGAAAGUGGACGUAUACGGUGUGACGCCUGCCCGGUGCCGGAAGGUUAAUUGAUGGGGUCAGCCGCAAGGCGAAGCUCUUGAUCGAAGCCCCGGUAAACGGCGGCCGUAACUAUAACGGUCCUAAGGUAGCGAAAUUCCUUGUCGGGUAAGUUCCGACCUGCACGAAUGGCGUAAUGAUGGCCAGGCUGUCUCCACCCGAGACUCAGUGAAAUUGAACUCGCUGUGAAGAUGCAGUGUACCCGCGGCAAGACGGAAAGACCCCGUGAACCUUUACUAUAGCUUGACACUGAACAUUGAGCCUUGAUGUGUAGGAUAGGUGGGAGGCUUUGAAGUGUGGACGCCAGUCUGCAUGGAGCCGACCUUGAAAUACCACCCUUUAAUGUUUGAUGUUCUAACGUGGACCCGUGAUCCGGGUUGCGGACAGUGUCUGGUGGGUAGUUUGACUGGGGCGGUCUCCUCCUAAAGAGUAACGGAGGAGCACGAAGGUUGGCUAAUCCUGGUCGGACAUCAGGAGGUUAGUGCAAUGGCAUAAGCCAGCUUGACUGCGAGCGUGACGGCGCGAGCAGGUGCGAAAGCAGGUCAUAGUGAUCCGGUGGUUCUGAAUGGAAGGGCCAUCGCUCAACGGAUAAAAGGUACUCCGGGGAUAACAGGCUGAUACCGCCCAAGAGUUCAUAUCGACGGCGGUGUUUGGCACCUCGAUGUCGGCUCAUCACAUCCUGGGGCUGAAGUAGGUCCCAAGGGUAUGGCUGUUCGCCAUUUAAAGUGGUACGCGAGCUGGGUUUAGAACGUCGUGAGACAGUUCGGUCCCUAUCUGCCGUGGGCGCUGGAGAACUGAGGGGGGCUGCUCCUAGUACGAGAGGACCGGAGUGGACGCAUCACUGGUGUUCGGGUUGUCAUGCCAAUGGCACUGCCCGGUAGCUAAAUGCGGAAGAGAUAAGUGCUGAAAGCAUCUAAGCACGAAACUUGCCCCGAGAUGAGUUCU